RNAcentral lists this transfer RNA (74 nucleotides) under Burkholderiales bacterium. RNAcentral describes it as "tRNA-Pro". It matches the Rfam family "tRNA". From Rfam's summary of the family: Transfer RNA (tRNA) molecules are approximately 80 nucleotides in length. Their secondary structure includes four short double-helical elements and three loops (D, anti-codon, and T loops). Further hydrogen bonds mediate the characteristic L-shaped molecular structure. tRNAs have two regions of fundamental functional importance: the anti-codon, which is responsible for specific mRNA codon recognition, and the 3' end, to which the tRNAs corresponding amino acid is attached (by aminoacyl-tRNA synthetases). tRNAs cope with the degeneracy of the genetic code in two manners: having more than one tRNA (with a specific anti-codon) for a particular amino acid; and 'wobble' base-pairing, i.e. permitting non-standard base-pairing at the 3rd anti-codon position. Lineage: Bacteria; Pseudomonadati; Pseudomonadota; Betaproteobacteria; Burkholderiales. The record is from RNAcentral.
CGGGGUGUGGCGCAGCCUGGUAGCGCACUUGCAUGGGGUGCAGGGGGUCCCGAGUUCGAAUCCCGGCACCCCGA